RNAcentral lists this long non-coding RNA (1074 nucleotides) under Homo sapiens (human). Its description in RNAcentral is "non-protein coding lnc-RNF150-5:1". The record is from RNAcentral. Lineage: Eukaryota; Metazoa; Chordata; Mammalia; Primates; Hominidae.
UGUGUUCUAUAGAUGGAACAACAAAGCACUGAUGACAGCACGUAUCUGUUUACAGCAUGGUUUGCUGACCGUUUUGCUCACUGUUGAGACCUACUGCUCAGAAAAGAAAAAUAUUCCUUUCAAAAUAUUGCUGCUCAUUGACAAUGCACCUGGUCACUCAAGAGCUCUGAUGAAAAUAAACAAAGUGAUUCAUAUUGUUUUCAUGCCUUGUAACACAAUACCCAUUCUGCAGCCUAGGAAUCCAGGCAUAAUUUUGACUUUCAGGUCUUAUUAUUUAAGAAAUAUAAAAUAUCAGCAUUAACAGAAUUUGAAAGAAAUUGAUUACAACCCUAAUGGACGACUUCGAGAGACUCAAGACUUGAGUGGGGAAAGUAACUGCAGAUGUCAUGGAAAUGGCAAGAGAACUAGAAUUUAAUCUAUACUCGAGGGAUGGGUUGGUUAGCUUUCAAAUUGUCCUAAUCAAAAAUCCAUACUUCAGAUGUUGAUACUUCCAAAAUAUUGUUUUCAAAAUCUAUACCAGAGGAUUUUACUUAAAUUAUCCUAAAAUAUAUGUUAGAAAUUAACCUCAUAGUUUUGUAUUGGUAUAAUGACUAGUGUUUAAAAUAUGUUAUUGAGAUCCACCAUACAGCAUGGUGACAAUAGUUACUAAAAAUCUAUUUUAUUAUUGAAAAAAUGUUAAGAGCAGAUGUUGUGUUCUCACCCCCAAAAAUGGUAAAUCCUCAUAAAAUGCAUAUAUAAUUAGCUAAAUCUAACCUAUCACAAUGUAUUCAUACUUCAAAUUAUGAUAUACAUAAUAAAUACAUGUUAUUUUUUCUGUUAAUUUAACAAUAAAUUUGAUAAAAAGCAAAAAAUGGUUUUUAAACUUUUUUAAAUAUACGUUUUUGGCUAGAAAAACUGUCCAGGACCCACCACACUUGUCUUAUUCAGGUUAAAGAUCCUGGCAAGUCUAACCACGUUAUAUCUUUAUAAUAUUGCUUCUGCUUCCCUGCACUUCUGAAAGAACUCUGUCAGCUAAUUAAACCUUAUAUUAUGUAUGUACAUAGUUUAUGUAACUACUAUGUAUCCAAGGCUAUG